RNAcentral lists this ribosomal RNA (546 nucleotides) under uncultured eukaryote. Its description in RNAcentral is "SSU rRNA". It matches the Rfam family "Eukaryotic small subunit ribosomal RNA", at positions 548 to 1098 of the family's 1831-position model. The record is from RNAcentral.
UUGGAGGGCAAGUCUGGUGCCAGCAGCCGCGGUAAUUCCAGCUCCAAUAGCGUAUAUUAAAGUUGUUGCAGUUAAAAAGCUCGUAGUUGAAUUUUGGGCCUGGUUGGGUGGUCUUGCCGCAAGGUAAGCACUGCUCCGAUCGGGUCUUUCCUUCUGGGGAACCAGCGUGCUCUUAAUUGGGUGCGUUGGGGAUCCAGGACUUUUACUUUGAAAAAAUUAGAGUGUUUAAAGCAGGCCUACGCUUGAAUACAUUAGCAUGGAAUAAUAGAAUAGGGCUUUGGUUCUAUUUUGUUGGUUUCUAGGACCGAAGUAAUGAUUAAUAGGGAUAGUUGGGGGCAUUAGUAUUUAAUUGUCAGAGGUGAAAUUCUUGGAUUUAUGAAAGACUAACUUCUGCGUAAGCAUUUGCCAAGGAUGUUUUCAUUAAUCAAGAACGAAAGUUAGGGGAUCGAAGACGAUCAGAUACCGUCGUAGUCUUAACCAUAAACUAUGCCGACUAGGGAUCGGACGAUGUUAUUUUUUUGACUCGUUCGGCGCCUUACGGGAAAC